UCCUGGGUGGCUCAGUGGUAAAGAAUCUGCCUGCCAAUGCAGAAAACAUGGGUUCGAUUCCUGGAUCAGGAA
This 72-nucleotide transfer RNA is filed under the name Bos taurus (domestic cattle). It matches the Rfam family "tRNA". From Rfam's summary of the family: Transfer RNA (tRNA) molecules are approximately 80 nucleotides in length. Lineage: Eukaryota; Metazoa; Chordata; Mammalia; Artiodactyla; Bovidae. The record is from Rfam by way of RNAcentral. RNAcentral also lists the same sequence under 2 other names.